AUACUUACCUGGCAGGGGAGAUACCAUGAUCAGCAAGGUGGUUUUCCCAGCGUGAGGCUCAUCCAUUGCACUGCGGGUGUGCUGACCUCUGUGAUUUCCCCAAAUGUGGGAAACUCAACUGCAGAAUUUGUGGUAGGGGGGGAUUGCAUUCGCGCUUUCCCCUG
RNAcentral lists this small nuclear RNA (164 nucleotides) under Chelydra serpentina (North American snapping turtle). Its description in RNAcentral is "U1 spliceosomal RNA (ENSCSRG00000012355.1)". It matches the Rfam family "U1 spliceosomal RNA". From Rfam's summary of the family: U1 is a small nuclear RNA (snRNA) component of the spliceosome (involved in pre-mRNA splicing). Its 5' end forms complementary base pairs with the 5' splice junction, thus defining the 5' donor site of an intron. There are significant differences in sequence and secondary structure between metazoan and yeast U1 snRNAs, the latter being much longer (568 nucleotides as compared to 164 nucleotides in human). Lineage: Eukaryota; Metazoa; Chordata; Testudines; Chelydridae. The record is from Rfam by way of RNAcentral.